This 254-nucleotide ribosomal RNA is filed under the name uncultured bacterium. RNAcentral describes it as "partial small subunit ribosomal RNA". It matches the Rfam family "Bacterial small subunit ribosomal RNA", at positions 26 to 285 of the family's 1533-position model. The record is from RNAcentral.
AGGACGAACGCUGGCGGCGUGCUUAACACAUGCAAGUCGAGCGGAAAGGCCCUUCGGGGUACUCGAGCGGCGAACGGGUGAGUAACACGUGAGCAAUCUGCCCUUAGCUUCGGGAUAGCUCCGGGAAGCCGGAAUUAAUACCGGAUAUGACUAUGGCUGACAUCAGCCACGGUGGAAAGUUUUUCGGCUAGGGAUGAGCUCGCGGCCUAUCAGCUAGUUGGUGGGGUAACGGCCUACCAAGGCGACGACGGGUA